RNAcentral lists this ribosomal RNA (425 nucleotides) under uncultured bacterium. Its description in RNAcentral is "partial 16S ribosomal RNA". It matches the Rfam family "Bacterial small subunit ribosomal RNA", at positions 354 to 796 of the family's 1533-position model. The record is from RNAcentral.
GUGGGGAAUCUUGCGCAAUGGGCGAAAGCCUGACGCAGCCAUGCUGCGUGAAUGAUGAAGGUCUUAGGAUUGUAAAAUUCUUUCACCGGGGACGAUAAUGACGGUACCCGGAGAAGAAGCCCCGGCUAACUUCGUGCCAGCAGCCGCGGUAAUACGAAGGGGGCUAGCGUUGCUCGGAAUUACUGGGCGUAAAGGGCGCGUAGGCGGACAGUUAAGUUGGGGGUGAAAGCCCGGGGCUCAACCUCGGAACUGCCUUCAAUACUGGCUGUCUUGAGUAUGAGAGAGGUGUGUGGAACUCCGAGUGUAGAGGUGAAAUUCGUAGAUAUUCGGAAGAACACCAGUGGCGAAGGCGACACACUGGCUCAUUACUGACGCUGAGGCGCGAAAGCGUGGGGAGCAAACAGGAUUAGAAACCCGAGUAGUCC